This 375-nucleotide ribosomal RNA is filed under the name uncultured Paracoccaceae bacterium. Its description in RNAcentral is "bacterial SSU rRNA". It matches the Rfam family "Bacterial small subunit ribosomal RNA", at positions 521 to 896 of the family's 1533-position model. Lineage: Bacteria; Pseudomonadati; Pseudomonadota; Alphaproteobacteria; Rhodobacterales; Paracoccaceae. The record is from RNAcentral.
UAAUACGGAGGGGGUUAGCGUUGUUCGGAAUUACUGGGCGUAAAGCGCACGUAGGCGGAUUAGAAAGUUAGAGGUGAAAUCCCAGGGCUCAACCCUGGAACUGCCUUUAAAACUCCUAGUCUUGAGUUCGUGAGAGGUGAGUGGAAUUCCAAGUGUAGAGGUGAAAUUCGUAGAUAUUUGGAGGAACACCAGUGGCGAAGGCGGCUCACUGGCUCGAUACUGACGCUGAGGUGCGAAAGUGUGGGGAGCAAACAGGAUUAGAUACCCUGGUAGUCCACACCGUAAACGAUGAAUGCCAGUCGUCGGGUAGUAUACUAUUCGGUGACACACCUAACGGAUUAAGCAUUCCGCCUGGGGAGUACGGUCGCAAGAUUA